Molecule: long non-coding RNA, 449 nt
Filed under: Astyanax mexicanus (Mexican tetra)
Lineage: Eukaryota; Metazoa; Chordata; Actinopteri; Characiformes; Acestrorhamphidae
Description: lncRNA (ENSAMXG00005008590.1)
Source: RNAcentral
UUUUAAUUGUAUAAAAACUUUGGAUGUAAACAGCAGCUUGAUUUGUUUGAUCGAUUUUACAGGAAUGAGAUCGGUGAGAAUUUUGGUGAAUACUCUACAAUUCCAGAAUUAAGAGCCAUCACAAACCCUGUCACUUUGUGUGAUGCUGAGAGAGACGUGUACAGUCUGAUUCAAGAUUCAGCGAUAUACAGCGUAGUACAGAAGAACGAAAGUGUUUUGCUGAAAAAGAAGAAAGAAACUAAACAACUCACUGAUACAACUGCAGUUUAUGCAAUCGUGCAAAAAGGAAGAAAAACGUGAUGACUGUCACACCUUCCUAUGCCUCUACUGACUUUUCCACUUUCACAAACUCCAACUCCCAGAAUGCACCUCUCAAUCAUGUGUCUCAGCCAGCCAAUCAGCACCUGAUUGUUAGAUCAGCUUCACCUGUGUUCUGAGUAAUUACUGGG